This 1116-nucleotide long non-coding RNA is filed under the name Triticum aestivum (bread wheat). RNAcentral's name for it is "long non-coding RNA (TAES_LNC010017)". The record is from RNAcentral. Lineage: Eukaryota; Viridiplantae; Streptophyta; Magnoliopsida; Poales; Poaceae.
UCGGAUAUGAACGAGGUUGCGUCUUGUACUUUCUUUCUAGUUAUGCGAUGAUUAUGUGUGCUGUACUAAAUUGUUGUGAUCAUCAGGAAUUGGAUAGGCAUGUUCUUGUUCAGGCAAGUUCCCUUGAUGGAUGAAAUGGAUGACAAGGUCAGUUCUCUGGCCACCGUCAUUUUUUAUAUUUCUUCUGACAGUUGUCUCAACAAUGCUUAAUGUCUGAUAAAACGAUAAAUACAGGUGGAUAGAGCCAAUGCAGAUCUGAAGAAUAUACCAACGUGAGGCUAAAACAGACUAUUCUUCAGGUAAAAGCUUAAAAGCUUAAGAGUCCUUUUAUAGUACAUCAAAUCAUUCCGAGCCUUUUAUUUUUGUGAUUAAAUGGCCCAGAUACGACAAUACUGCACAUGAAUUCGUGUAGUAUAUUUAGGCGUCAAGGGCACUUUGGGCAGUUCUUAAUCAACUUUUCAUGUACUGGACGGCAUAGCUAGUAAUUACCCCGUUAGCACUCGACAAGAACGUCAGCUCGCAGCACUUACUCGUCACUAGUUUAGUAAUUCUUCCAAGGUAUGUCAAUGUACUAGUAUCAGAAAUAACCAGGGGCAUCUAAGUUUUCUGCUCCCCUGGUGUGAUAGCAGAAAGAAAAACAAAUCAUCUAUGCGCUGGUGUGGUGGGAGAGACAGCGUCAGCCCUGUCCCUAUGGAUGCACCUGGCAGCGGACCACGUGUGCCGUGGAGCCGACGAGCUAGCAGGCUGCCGGAUGGGAUCUCCAGUGCUGCACCACCAGCAAUCUCGCGUGGAUGAUGACCUCCAUCACCGGGGGGAGCACAAGCUCGUUGAUAGAGGUCUUCACUCGCAAUGCCGGUGGCUGCGCAAGGUCUCCACGUUCAUACGCUGCUCGUGGAGGGUAAACUGCAUAGGCAUUUUGUUAAUUUUAUUUGAGAUUUUCCUUAAAAUGGAAGGUCGGAUAAUCGAAUUUUCACAGAAUGAGUCACUUGAUGUAAGUCUCAAAUGAUGUCCCUACGCCGCAUUCAGUUGUAAGAGUAGAGACAAACAGAAAUUGCUUGCCAUAAAAGUGUGUCAAGAGACUUGUUUUGUUGUACCCGAAUAUUAAUCUAAUACUAU